GGCGGGAUGGUGUAAUGGUAACAUACCGGUUUCGUUAAUCGGCGCUGUUGGUUCGAGUCCAGCUCCUGCACCCA
Molecule: transfer RNA, 74 nt
Filed under: Inoviridae sp.
Lineage: Floreoviria; Loebvirae; Hofneiviricota; Faserviricetes; Tubulavirales; Inoviridae
Description: tRNA-Thr
Rfam family: tRNA
About the family: Transfer RNA (tRNA) molecules are approximately 80 nucleotides in length. Their secondary structure includes four short double-helical elements and three loops (D, anti-codon, and T loops).
Source: RNAcentral